GAACUGAAGAGUUUGAUCAUGGCUCAGAUUGAACGCUGGCGGCAGGCCUAACACAUGCAAGUCGAGCGGUAGAGAGAAGCUUGCUUCUCUUGAGAGCGGCGGACGGGUGAGUAAUGCCUAGGAAUCUGCCUGGUAGUGGGGGAUAACGUUCGGAAACGGACGCUAAUACCGCAUACGUCCUACGGGAGAAAGCAGGGGACCUUCGGGCCUUGCGCUAUCAGAUGAGCCUAGGUCGGAUUAGCUAGUUGGUGGGGUAAUGGCUCACCAAGGCGACGAUCCGUAACUGGUCUGAGAGGAUGAUCAGUCACACUGGAACUGAGACACGGUCCAGACUCCUACGGGAGGCAGCAGUGGGGAAUAUUGGACAAUGGGCGAAAG
Molecule: ribosomal RNA, 378 nt
Filed under: Pseudomonas sp. JV449
Lineage: Bacteria; Pseudomonadati; Pseudomonadota; Gammaproteobacteria; Pseudomonadales; Pseudomonadaceae
Description: bacterial SSU rRNA
Rfam family: Bacterial small subunit ribosomal RNA
Source: RNAcentral